UGGGGAAUUUUGGACAAUGGGCGAAAGCCUGAUCCAGCAAUGCCGCGUGUGUGAAGAAGGCCUUCGGGUUGUAAGCACUUUUGUCCGGAAAGAAAUCCUUGGCUCUAAUACAGUCGGGGGAUGACGGUACCGGAAGAAUAAGCACCGGCUAACUACGUGCCAGCAGCCGCGGUAAUACGUAGGGUGCAAGCGUUAAUCGGAAUUACUGGGCGUAAAGCGUGCGCAGGCGGUUUGCUAAGACCGAUGUGAAAUCCCCGGGCUCAACCUGGGAACUGCAUUGGUGACUGGCAGGCUAGAGUAUGGCAGAGGGGGGUAGAAUUCCACGUGUAGCAGUGAAAUGCGUAGAGAUGUGGAGGAAUACCGAUGGCGAAGGCAGCCCCCUGGGCCAAAUACUGACGCUCAUGCACGAAAGCGUGGGGAGCAAACAGGAUUNGAUACCCUGGUAGUCCACGCCCUAAAACGAUGUCAACUAGUUGUUGGGGAUUCAUUUCCUUAGUAACGUAGCUAACGCGUGAAGUUGACCGCCUGGGGAGUACGGUCGCAAGAUUAAAACUCAAAUGAAUUGAC
This 567-nucleotide ribosomal RNA is filed under the name uncultured bacterium. Its description in RNAcentral is "partial 16S ribosomal RNA". It matches the Rfam family "Bacterial small subunit ribosomal RNA", at positions 355 to 914 of the family's 1533-position model. The record is from RNAcentral.